RNAcentral lists this ribosomal RNA (253 nucleotides) under uncultured bacterium. Its description in RNAcentral is "partial 16S ribosomal RNA". It matches the Rfam family "Bacterial small subunit ribosomal RNA", at positions 524 to 776 of the family's 1533-position model. The record is from RNAcentral.
GACAGAGGGUGCAAACGUUGUUCGGAAUUACUGGGCGUAAAGCGUGUGUAGGCGGCUUCGCAAGUCGGAUGUGAAAGCCCCGGGCUCAACCCGGGAAGUGCACUCGAUACUGCGGAGCUAGAGUGUCGGAGAGGUUGGUGGAAUUCUCGGUGUAGAGGUGAAAUUCGUAGAUAUCGAGAGGAACACCGGUGGCGAAAGCGGCUCACUGGACCGUUACUGACGCUGAGGUGCGAAAGCUAGGGGAGCAAACGGG